Small nuclear RNA from Heteronotia binoei (common prickly gecko), 144 nucleotides. RefSeq annotates it as U4 spliceosomal RNA. The transcript has a single exon. The record is from RefSeq and is a predicted model, not a curated record. NCBI's taxonomy places the organism in Eukaryota, Metazoa, Chordata, Lepidosauria, Squamata, Gekkonidae.
AGUUUUGCACAGUGGCAGUGUUGUGGCCAAUGGGGUUAAUCUGAGGCACGAUUGUUGCUAAUUGAAAACUACUCCCAAGGACAUCAGUAGUUGAAGAACUGUUCUCUCAACGUGCAUUAUAAUCUUACCAAGUCCACAAAUGUA